This 21-nucleotide non-coding RNA is filed under the name Arabidopsis thaliana (thale cress). The record is from RNAcentral. Lineage: Eukaryota; Viridiplantae; Streptophyta; Magnoliopsida; Brassicales; Brassicaceae.
UUGUAGCCGAAAUUGGAUGCC